CAAGUCCGGCAGGGAUAAACGCUGAAGGCAUCUAAGCGUGAAGCCCCCCUCAAGAUGAGAUAUCCCAGAAUGUAAGACCCCUUAAAGAGAAUGAGGUAGAUAGGCUCAAGGUGGAAGCACAGCAAUGUGUGCAGCAGAUGAGUACUAAUCGGUCGAGGGCUUAACCAA
This 168-nucleotide ribosomal RNA is filed under the name Candidatus Eisenbergiella merdavium. RNAcentral's name for it is "partial 23S ribosomal RNA". It matches the Rfam family "Bacterial large subunit ribosomal RNA", at positions 2750 to 2925 of the family's 2925-position model. Lineage: Bacteria; Bacillati; Bacillota; Clostridia; Lachnospirales; Lachnospiraceae. The record is from RNAcentral.